GGAGAGUUGGCUGAGCGGUUUAAAGCAACAGCUUGGAAAGUUGUCAGUAGGUUUAACACUUACUCAGCGGUUCGAAUCCGCUACUCUCCUCCA
This 93-nucleotide transfer RNA is filed under the name bacterium. RNAcentral's name for it is "tRNA-Ser". It matches the Rfam family "tRNA". From Rfam's summary of the family: Transfer RNA (tRNA) molecules are approximately 80 nucleotides in length. The record is from RNAcentral.